RNAcentral lists this ribosomal RNA (253 nucleotides) under uncultured bacterium. RNAcentral describes it as "partial 16S ribosomal RNA". It matches the Rfam family "Bacterial small subunit ribosomal RNA", at positions 524 to 776 of the family's 1533-position model. The record is from RNAcentral.
GACAUAGGUGGCAAGCGUUGCGCGGAAUCAUUGGGCUUAAAGCGCGUGUAGGCGGCUUUAUAAGUCUGCUGUGGAAUUCCAGAGCUUAACUCUGGAACGCCCGUGGAAACUAUAAGGCUAGAGUCAGGUAGAGGCGAGCGGAAUUCCCGGUGUAGCGGUGAAAUGCGUAGAUAUCAGGAGGAAGGCCGAUGGCGAAGGCAGCCCUCUGGGACUGUACUGACGCUGAGACGCGAAAGCGUGGGGAGCAAACAGG